RNAcentral lists this ribosomal RNA (1110 nucleotides) under Micrococcus luteus. Its description in RNAcentral is "bacterial SSU rRNA". It matches the Rfam family "Bacterial small subunit ribosomal RNA", at positions 180 to 1303 of the family's 1533-position model. Lineage: Bacteria; Bacillati; Actinomycetota; Actinomycetes; Micrococcales; Micrococcaceae. The record is from RNAcentral.
CGUCCACCGCAUGGUGGGUGUUGGAAAGAUUUAUCGGUUUUGGAUGGACUCGCGGCCUAUCAGCUUGUUGGUGAGGUAAUGGCUCACCAAGGCGACGACGGGUAGCCGGCCUGAGAGGGUGACCGGCCACACUGGGACUGAGACACGGCCCAGACUCCUACGGGAGGCAGCAGUGGGGAAUAUUGCACAAUGGGCGAAAGCCUGAUGCAGCGACGCCGCGUGAGGGAUGACGGCCUUCGGGUUGUAAACCUCUUUCAGUAGGGAAGAAGCGAAAGUGACGGUACCUGCAGAAGAAGCACCGGCUAACUACGUGCCAGCAGCCGCGGUAAUACGUAGGGUGCGAGCGUUAUCCGGAAUUAUUGGGCGUAAAGAGCUCGUAGGCGGUUUGUCGCGUCUGUCGUGAAAGUCCGGGGCUUAACCCCGGAUCUGCGGUGGGUACGGGCAGACUAGAGUGCAGUAGGGGAGACUGGAAUUCCUGGUGUAGCGGUGGAAUGCGCAGAUAUCAGGAGGAACACCGAUGGCGAAGGCAGGUCUCUGGGCUGUAACUGACGCUGAGGAGCGAAAGCAUGGGGAGCGAACAGGAUUAGAUACCCUGGUAGUCCAUGCCGUAAACGUUGGGCACUAGGUGUGGGGACCAUUCCACGGUUUCCGCGCCGCAGCUAACGCAUUAAGUGCCCCGCCUGGGGAGUACGGCCGCAAGGCUAAAACUCAAAGGAAUUGCGGGGGCCCGCACAAGCGGCGGAGCAUGCGGAUUAAUUCGAUGCAACGCGAAGAACCUUACCAAGGCUUGACAUGUUCCCGAUCGCCGUAGAGAUACGAUUUCCCCUUUGGGGCGGGUUCACAGGUGGUGCAUGGUUGUCGUCAGCUCGUGUCGUGAGAUGUUGGGUUAAGUCCCGCAACGAGCGCAACCCUCGUUCCAUGUUGCCAGCACGUAAUGGUGGGGACUCAUGGGAGACUGCCGGGGUCAACUCGGAGGAAGGUGAGGACGACGUCAAAUCAUCAUGCCCCUUAUGUCUUGGGCUUCACGCAUGCUACAAUGGCCGGUACAAUGGGUUGCGAUACUGUGAGGUGGAGCUAAUCCCAAAAAGCCGGUCUCAGUUCGGAUUGGGG